Molecule: RNA transcript, 2907 nt
Organism: Microplitis mediator
Lineage: Eukaryota; Metazoa; Arthropoda; Insecta; Hymenoptera; Braconidae
Exons: 3
Source: RefSeq, a predicted model, not a curated record
UGAUUACUUUAUCUUCUUCUUUUAAUUACUUCUGAGAGCGUCUUUCGAGACAAAAUAUCGUUAUAAAAUGUUUUCGAACAGAGUCAAUGGCGCCAAAAUUACGCCGGCCUAAGGGCUCUGAUCUAAAACCCAAAUAUUGUGAGUGUGACUCCUGUUCGGAAUAUGACAAGUUGUGUUCUGGUGAACGUUACCACCAACCACUAAUCAGACCUAACUUGUCCUUCGUAAGGAGUGUCACUUCACUCUCAAAAACCUUUAAGGUCAAGAAACUUCGAUAUAAACUGUUCCCGAUCACUGAGGUCGAGAGGCCCAUACCUCUCGUCUACAUCGGCGACCCAGAUCCAAGGUUCCACUUUUACGCGGAUAAAUUCCUGACCGGACCUUCCCAGUUGGAGCCGUACAAGGGAGUUCCUGACGACCACGUGGAGCUGAUAGUUUUGGAAUAACAGCAAGAGGAAAAGGUACCCUUUUUAAAAUCGGUCCCCUUUUUCCACCAACAUAAUAAAUUUUACGGAAUAAUGAGGAAAUUUUGGCCAAUUUUCAUUGCCUUUGUGGCUCUCCUUCCCUCUGCACAUGGGUUACUGGGGUAUGACUGUGGCGGAGGAAAUCUAAAUUUAACAACGAUAUCAUUACUGGAUGUAGAGGAAUGUGAUAUUCCAGAAACUAAAGUUAAAACAGAAAAUAUUAAAAUACAAUUGUUACAAACUAUAGAUUUUAAGGAAGUAGAGAUUAUAGAAUGUAGAGUCGAGAUUGAUCGACAAAUACAUCGCUGUGGAAUGCAUUCUCAUUCCUCAGUCGUCGCUAAUUACCGUAGAAACUACUUACUAGAUUUAAGCGAAUCAUUAUGUCGCGAUAUGUAUCAUACGGGGUCAUUCCCCCUUGCGUACAACGUUCCAGUCAAUGGUCUCCAGCGGAAUGCAACCAAUCAUCGACAUGUCAUGCUGGGUGGUUCCCUGGGUAAUGAUGGCACGUGCGAGGGCACAUCGUACAGCGAUCCCUUUGGAGAUUGGUCCUACGUGGUAGUGGAUGCCAACUUAUAUAUCACUGUUAAUAAAUAUAUGGGUCGUGUAGACAUUAAAUCGGGAAUGGUUGCUCUGAGGUCAGGGCAUAAAUGUAAUUUAAAAGAUUUGAAAUGCAUAGAUGGAGCAGGAUAUUCAGCGUUUUGGAGAGACAUCCCUGCAGACAGUUGUCCACUCACCAAGUUUGGAGUUCUAUACGAGGGGAUGGCCACUCACAUCAUUGGAAGCGCACCAAAUCCAGAUGUAUAUACAGUCACUACAGAAGAUAUUACAUUCGCAUUGGCCAGGAAGGUGGUACAUGACCUUUGUGGGUUCAGGGUCAUCAGCACAGAGCAUCCGAAGCUGUUCAUCGUCGAAGGAGGAGGGGCACCUAAUGAUGGAAAAGUUAAAGUCGACAACAUGGACAUCUUCACCUACAUCAACUCAAAAUUUGUAUAUGUUGAAAGGCACAUCCGUUUGCAAAUGGAAAAUCUAUAUCAUGACAUAUUGGUCCAUCGCUGUGAGUUGGAGAGAAGAAUAUUAAUGAAUAGCCUGGCCCUGUCUUCAAUUAACCCAGACCAGUUCAGCUACGCAUUAAUGAAAGUACCCGGGUAUUAUACAGUCAUCGCUGGUGAAGUUGUGCAUGUCAUCAAGUGCAUCGGAGUACCGGUUAAGAAACGUCAAGCAGAGGUAUGUUAUCAAGAAUUACCUGUUACUUACAAAAAUGAAAGUUACUUCCUGACUCCAAAAUCAAGAACCUUAACUAAAAAGGGUACUAUUGUGGAAUGUAACGAAUUCCUGCCCAUUCAAUUUGAUAUUGAUGGAAGGUGGUACCAGUUUUUACCAAAGGUAUCGACAGCUCCAUUACCACAAAGCCUAAAGCCGGAAACAGAACCCAGCUGGAGUUAUAACGAACCAAUGCAUCUAGCUCAAAGCGGAGUCUAUUCACAAGAAGAUUUGGAGAAAUUAAGAGAUCGCAUCAUGUUUCCGGUGGAAAGAGAAGCAUUAUUGAAUUCAUUAGCUAGGGGUGUAACGGGAAGAUCAACCGGAGACAAACAAAUAUCGUUGAUAGGACUAUUGGACGAAAACGCACUAAACAGAAUUGCGGAGUCAACUGCACAGAAGAUAUGGGGUGGUUUUGUGGAAUUCGGGUCAGUAAGUGCGGGGAUAAUGGCAAUACUAAUGAUUAUUAAAAUUUUCAAAUAUGUGGCCGAUACGAUUAUCCAGGGUAAAGCGCUGCAUGAAACUUAUGGUUGCGGAAAAGAGAUAUUCGGUGCUCUUUGGAACGCACUCACUUCAUAUCUAUUACACAGGCACCAUCAAAGAAAUUCUCAACAACCGAAUAAACCUGAAGAUCCACCAACAGAAGUCAUCGUCAACCAGCCAAUCAGCACCCCACCAGUACCACCACCAAGACAGUAUUAUAGUGCAGCCAGUAGAAGUCUAUACGACUUGAGAGAUAGCGGGUCAAUCGGGUCAACAUCUGAUGUCUUGAAGGGUGUCGAUCCCGUUUUGCUAAGUAAACUUCGUAGAACACACGAUCCAUAACCCCGUGUGUUCAACUAAGGGGGAGGGUGUUACGUCCUCGUCACCCUUCAACACCUUUUUCAAAUAAACCCACCAAAAUUAUUAUUAUUAUUCUGGGAAAUGCCCAGCAUGAACAACUCAUACGGACCAUCCCCGUACGAUACUUUCACAAAACUUAUAUCUCAGAGAAAAACGUCAAGAAACUUCGAUAUAAACUGUUCCCGAUCACUGAGGUCGAGAGGCCCAUACCUCUCGUCUACAUCGGCGACCCAGAUCCAAGGUUCCACUUUUACGCGGAUAAAUUCCUGACCGGACCUUCCCAGUUGGAGCCGUACAAGGGAGUUCCUGACGACCACGUGGAGCUGAUAGUUUUGGAAUAACA